Molecule: ribosomal RNA, 497 nt
Filed under: uncultured bacterium
Lineage: Bacteria
Description: partial 16S ribosomal RNA
Rfam family: Bacterial small subunit ribosomal RNA
Source: RNAcentral
GAUGAACGCUGGCGGCGUGCCUAAUACAUGCCAGUCGAGCGAACAGAUGAGGAGCUUGCUCCUCUGACGUUAGCGGCGGACGAGUGAGUAACACGUGGAUAACCUACCUAUAAGACUGGGAUAACUUCGGGAAACCGGAGCUAAUACCGGAUAAUAUAUUGAACCGCAUGGUUCAAUAGUGAAAGACGGUUUUGCUGUCACUUAUAGAUGGAUCCGCGCCGCAUUAGCUAGUUGGUAAGGUAACGGCUUACCAAGGCGACGAUGCGUAGCCGACCUGAGAGGGUGAUCGGCCACACUGGAACUGAGACACGGUCCAGACUCCUACGGGAGGCAGCAGUAGGGAAUCUUCCGCAAUGGGCGAAAGCCUGACGGAGCAACGCCGCGUGAGUGAUGAAGGUCUUCGGAUCGUAAAACUCUGUUAUUAGGGAAGAACAAAUGUGUAAGUAACUAUGCACGUCUUGACGGUACCUAAUCAGAAAGCCACGGCUAACUACGUG